RNAcentral lists this ribosomal RNA (396 nucleotides) under Triticum aestivum (bread wheat). Its description in RNAcentral is "partial small subunit ribosomal RNA". Lineage: Eukaryota; Viridiplantae; Streptophyta; Magnoliopsida; Poales; Poaceae. The record is from RNAcentral.
AUGCUUCUUCUAUUGUGUUUUCAGUGUUGGGGGUUUACCAGUCUUUUUCGAGGAAGGGUUAUCACCAUUUUCUUAUGGGCCUUUUAUAAUUUUCUUCUUAUUGUUAUUUCUAUCAUGAUUGUGUUAGCCCUUGUAUCUAGCUUUCCAACAAACUUGGUUUCGUUUAAUUCGGAGUUCGUUUGCAGAAGUUGUGUCAGUUUUGGUGUCCUUAAAAAGGCAGCAGCGGUACUACCGCUCAUGGGAGCGGUACUACCGCUCAUGGGAGCGGUACUAUCGCUUGGAGGGGAUGUAAUUUUUUACUUCCGCUCUUGGGAGCGGUACUACCGCGCUACUUCCACUCCGGACCAAAAACUCGUCAUAGGUCUAGCGGUGGUAGGCACGGAUGUAUUUUUUUAG